AACACGUGGGUGACCUGCCCUCCACUCUGGGAUAAGCCCGGGAAACUGGGUCUAAUACCGGAUAGGACCAUUGAUCGCAUGGUUGGUGGUGGAAAGUUUUUUCGGUGGGGGAUGGGCCCGCGGCCUAUCAGCUUGUUGGUGGGGUGAUGGCCUACCAAGGCGGUGACGGGUAGCCGGCCUGAGAGGGCGACCGGCCACACUGGGACUGAGACACGGCCCAGACUCCUACGGGAGGCAGCAGUGGGGAAUAUUGCGCAAUGGGCGGAAGCCUGACGCAGCGACGCCGCGUGGGGGAUGACGGCCUUCGGGUUGUAAACCUCUUUCGCCAGGGACGAAGAGCAAUUGACGGUACCUGGAGAAGAAGCACCGGCCAACUACGUGCCAGCAGCCGCGGUAACACGUAGGGUGCGAGCGUUGUCCGGAAUUAUUGGGCGUAAAGAGCUCGUAGGC
This 450-nucleotide ribosomal RNA is filed under the name Pseudonocardia sp. RNAcentral's name for it is "bacterial SSU rRNA". It matches the Rfam family "Bacterial small subunit ribosomal RNA", at positions 112 to 576 of the family's 1533-position model. The record is from RNAcentral. Lineage: Bacteria; Bacillati; Actinomycetota; Actinomycetes; Pseudonocardiales; Pseudonocardiaceae.